This is a non-coding RNA of Caenorhabditis elegans, 69 nucleotides long. Lineage: Eukaryota; Metazoa; Nematoda; Chromadorea; Rhabditida; Rhabditidae. The record is from Ensembl.
UUUAGGCUUAGGCUUAGGCUUAGGCUUAGGCCUACGCUUAGGCUUAGGCUCAGGCUCAGGCUUAGGCUU